This 893-nucleotide ribosomal RNA is filed under the name uncultured bacterium. RNAcentral's name for it is "bacterial SSU rRNA". It matches the Rfam family "Bacterial small subunit ribosomal RNA", at positions 8 to 916 of the family's 1533-position model. The record is from RNAcentral.
AGAGUUUGAUCAUGGCUCAGGGUUAACGCUGGCGGCGUGCCUAACACAUGCAAGUCGAACGGUUCUAAGCGCGAGCUUAGGAUAGUGGCGAACGGGUGAGUAAAAGGCAGGAAUCUACCCCUUGGACGGAGAUAGCUACUGGAAACGGUAGGUAAACUUCGAUAAGCCCGAGAGGGGAAAGUGGUAAGACAGCCGAGGGAUGAGCCUACUCUCCAUCAGGUAGUUGGUGAGAUAAAAGCUUACCAAGCCGAUGACGGAUAACCGGUGUGAGAGCAUGAACGGUCACAAGGGCACUGAGAGACGGGCCCUACUCCUACGGGAGGCAGCAGUGGGGAAUCUUGGACAAUGGGCGAAAGCCUGAUCCAGCGACGCCGCGUGGAGGAAGAAGUCCUUCGGGAUGUAAACUUCUGAACUAGCCGAAUAAAAGGCCUGUGGACACACAGGAGAAGAAAGUAGGCUAGGAAAAGUCCCGGCUAACUACGUGCCAGCAGCCGCGGUAAGACGUAGGGGGCAAGCGUUACCCGGAAUUACUGGGCGUAAAGGGGGCGUAGGCGGUAAAAGAAGUCAUCUGUGAAAACCUAUUGCUCAACGAUAGGCUAGCGGAUGAAACUGAAUUACUUGAGGGCACCAGAGGUAGACGGAAUUACCCGAGUAGGGGUGAAAUCCGCAGAUACGGGUAGGAACGCCGGUGGAGAAGUCGGUCUACUGGGGUGCACCAGACACUGAGGCCCGAAAGCUAGGGGAGCAAACCGGAUUAGAUACCCGGGUAGUCCUAGCCGUAAACGAUGCUCACUAGGUGUAGGGAGUGAUAAACUCUCUGUGCUGAAGCGAACGCGCUAAGUGAGCCGCCUGGGGAGUACGUCCGCAAGGAUGAAACUCAAAUGAAUUGACGG